AUUUAUAUAAUAUAUAAAAGUAUAUUUGACUUCCAAUCAAAAAGUUUAAAUUAUUUUAAUAUAAAUA
This 67-nucleotide transfer RNA is filed under the name Halpe nephele. RNAcentral's name for it is "tRNA-Gly". The record is from RNAcentral. Lineage: Eukaryota; Metazoa; Arthropoda; Insecta; Lepidoptera; Hesperiidae.